RNAcentral lists this ribosomal RNA (1434 nucleotides) under Halomonas sp. X19. Its description in RNAcentral is "bacterial SSU rRNA". It matches the Rfam family "Bacterial small subunit ribosomal RNA". The record is from RNAcentral. Lineage: Bacteria; Pseudomonadati; Pseudomonadota; Gammaproteobacteria; Oceanospirillales; Halomonadaceae.
GCGUGCGGAGCUACCAUGCAGUCGAGCGGAACGAUGGAAGCUUGCUUCCAGGCGUCGAGCGGCGGACGGGUGAGUAAUGCAUAGGAAUCUGCCCGAUAGUGGGGGAUAACCUGGGGAAACCCAGGCUAAUACCGCAUACGUCCUACGGGAGAAAGCAGGGGAUCUUCGGACCUUGCGCUAUCGGAUGAGCCUAUGUCGGAUUAGCUAGUUGGUGAGGUAACGGCUCACCAAGGCCGCGAUCCGUAGCUGGUCUGAGAGGAUGAUCAGCCACAUCGGGACUGAGACACGGCCCGAACUCCUACGGGAGGCAGCAGUGGGGAAUAUUGGACAAUGGGCGAAAGCCUGAUCCAGCCAUGCCGCGUGUGUGAAGAAGGCUUUCGGGUUGUAAAGCACUUUCAGUGGGGAAGAAAUCCUCGGGGCCAAUACCCUCGAGGGAGGACAUCACCCACAGAAGAAGCACCGGCUAACUCCGUGCCAGCAGCCGCGGUAAUACGGAGGGUGCGAGCGUUAAUCGGAAUUACUGGGCGUAAAGCGCGCGUAGGCGGCGUGAUAAGCCGGUUGUGAAAGCCCCGGGCUCAACCUGGGAACGGCAUCCGGAACUGUCAGGCUAGAGUGCAGGAGAGGAAGGUAGAAUUCCCGGUGUAGCGGUGAAAUGCGUAGAGAUCGGGAGGAAUACCAGUGGCGAAGGCGGCCUUCUGGACUGACACUGACGCUGAGGUGCGAAAGCGUGGGUAGCAAACAGGAUUAGAUACCCUGGUAGUCCACGCCGUAAACGAUGUCGACUAGCCGUUGGGGUCCUUGUGACCUUUGUGGCGCAGUUAACGCGAUAAGUCGACCGCCUGGGGAGUACGGCCGCAAGGUUAAAACUCAAAUGAAUUGACGGGGGCCCGCACAAGCGGUGGAGCAUGUGGUUUAAUUCGAUGCAACGCGAAGAACCUUACCUACUCUUGACAUCGUGCGAACUUUCCAGAGAUGGAUUGGUGCCUUCGGGAACGCACAGACAGGUGCUGCAUGGCCGUCGUCAGCUCGUGUUGUGAAAUGUUGGGUUAAGUCCCGUAACGAGCGCAACCCUUGUCCCUAUUUGCCAGCGAUUCGGUCGGGAACUCUAGGGAGACUGCCGGUGACAAACCGGAGGAAGGUGGGGACGACGUCAGGUCAUCAUGGCCCUUACGAGUAGGGCUACACACGUGCUACAAUGGCCGGUACAAAGGGUUGCGAAGCCGCGAGGUGGAGCUAAUCCCGAAAAGCCGGUCUCAGUCCGGAUCGGAGUCUGCAACUCGACUCCGUGAAGUCGGAAUCGCUAGUAAUCGUGAAUCAGAAUGUCACGGUGAAUACGUUCCCGGGCCUUGUACACACCGCCCGUCACACCAUGGGAGUGGACUGCACCAGAAGUGGUUAGCCUAACUUCGGAGGGCGAUCACCACGGUGUGUUGU